GUACAUUUGUAGUGCUCAGCACAACAUUAUUAUUCGUUACAUUCGUGUGGGUGUAAAAAAUCCUCAGCCAGCCGAAGCCAGCAGAGGCAAAGGUGCACAAAUGGGUGGUCGAUAUAAAUGCCCCCCAACGUGCACAUGCUCUUGAAAGAGCCAGCACUGAAGGUAGACAAUUUAACAUCGGUAAUGAUCCUUCCGCAGGUUCACCUACGGAAA
This 213-nucleotide unclassified non-coding RNA is filed under the name uncultured fungus. RNAcentral's name for it is "sequence contains ITS1". Lineage: Eukaryota; Fungi. The record is from RNAcentral.